GGUUUAAUCGAUUUUAGUUUUCUCCCGCCAAGUGUGAACCUAAAUCCUCAAUCCCUCCAUUGCAGCCUCUUGUCUUGCGGCUCUUCCUCCUCCCGCCAUUGUUGUAUCUGUUACUUCAAUCCCUUCAAAUUCUUCCCCAUUUUGAAACUCUUGAAGAUUAUUGGAACCAGUCAAGAACACGCAAUAUGAAUAUUGGUGUUUCUAUAUCUUCAAUUGCUGCCCUCCGCCUUCCUAUUCGCCUCCAUUGCUUUCGCACCUCCAAAAUCCUCACAUCCUUCCCGAAUUCUGGAAGCUUACGUAUCUUUUCGUCAAUGUCCACAUCCUCGCCUCCGACCGCGGAUCAGCUGGCUGUAGAUGACAAGAAGCCCUCGCCGCCGCCCAAGCCAUGGCUCAUCGUGGGCCUUGGGAACCCUGGGAAGAAAUAUGAUGGCACGCGCCAUAAUGUAGGUUUUGAGAUGGUGGAUACUGUAGCUGAAGCUGAAGGGAUAUCCAUGAGUAGUGUAUCCUUCAAAGCUCUGAUCGGGAAAGGUUUCAUCGGGGAUGUUCCCAUAAUGCUAGCCAAGCCACAAACUUUCAUGAAUGCAAGUGGUGAGUCUGUUGGUGCUAUUGUUUCCUACUAUAAGAUUCCAUUGAAGCAAGUACUUGUGAUUUUUGAUGACUUAGAUUUGCCAUUUGGAAAAUUGCGGAUGCUGCCCAAGGGUGGCCAUGGAGGACAAAAUGGGAUGAGGAGUAUUAUUGAUCACUUGAAGGGAAGUCGUGAUUUCCCUCGAUUAAGAAUUGGCAUUGGACGCCCUCCCGGGAAAAUGGAUGCUGCGAACUUUGUUCUGCGGCCCUUCAACAAACAAGAACGAGAAGAGUUGAAUUUUACACUGCAAGUUGGCUUGGAGGCAAUUCGGAUCCUUUUGCUCGAGGGGUUUAACAAAAGUGCAACAUUUGUCAACACCAACAAACCUCUGGAACAAAUAGUUUCAACUACCAACUUCCUUGAAAGCUUUGGAUGAGAUUCAUGGCGAGAAAGACCUGUUGCAGCAAGAGACACCAGUGUCAUAAUGCUAAAUAGUCGGCAAAGGGUCACUAGUAUUUUGAAUCCCAUCAAUGGCAGCAAACAAGCCGAGAAAAGUUGAGAAAGACAGGAAUUGAUAAAGUUAAAAACAUGGAAGGGCAAGAAAUAGUUAUGAAAUGUAAUUAUAUUUUUCUUUAUUAAAAAAAAUGAAACAAGAAGCUUGUACGUUAUCAAAGGGCUCUUGAUUAUCUCAUCUCGGCAUCACCAACGGAGGCUCUUUCUUUACCUUUCUUGUCUGGUUCUUCAGCUUUUUGCAUUCCCCCUGUUCUGAGGGGCCCACGAUUUUCCUGUAAUUUACUGAACUAUC
Molecule: RNA transcript, 1370 nt
Organism: Momordica charantia (bitter melon)
Lineage: Eukaryota; Viridiplantae; Streptophyta; Magnoliopsida; Cucurbitales; Cucurbitaceae
Gene name: Peptidyl-tRNA hydrolase family protein
Source: RefSeq, a predicted model, not a curated record